This 754-nucleotide long non-coding RNA is filed under the name Pongo abelii (Sumatran orangutan). Its description in RNAcentral is "lincRNA". The record is from RNAcentral. Lineage: Eukaryota; Metazoa; Chordata; Mammalia; Primates; Hominidae.
UAUGUGAGGACACCAAGAGGUGACCAUCAGCAAGCCCAGGAGAGAGGCCUCAGAAGAAACCAGACCUGCCGAUUCCUUGAUCUUGAACUUCUAGCCUCCGGAACUAUCCAACUUGAAUGCUUCCUGAUUAAAUAUAUACAGGAGUGAUUUCAGAGGAAUUUAAGUUUUGGAUCAUCCUUUUGAGAAAGAAAAAAAAGUACCCUUUUAAAAGAGGUGACUCUUGAACAACACAGGUUUGAACUGCAUCAUUCCACUUAUACACAGACUUUCUUCUGCCACUGCCACUCCUGAGACAACAUGACCAAUCUCUCCCUUUCCUCCUCCUCAGCGUACUUUCAACAUAAAGACGACGAGGAUAAAGGCAUUUAUGAUGAACUACUUCCACAUAAUGAAUAAUUGAACAAAGGAGAGAAUUGUGAGAGUGAGAAAAAGUAAGUGAGACAAAGAAGAAAAACUAUAAAUCAGCAAAAUCCAGUGCCAAGAGCUCUGGACCACAAAUCAGAAGACCUGAGCCCUAAUUCCUUUCCAGUCAUUGGAUUUGUUCAUCGCUUGCCAAAACAGCAGCGAACUCUGUCAAACUGCAGCUCAUUUUAUCGGAGCAAAAACUGAACAAAGAACUGCUAUCAUGUCUGAGGUGUGAUUUCUUAAGCAUUUUGUCUUGUGAUUGAUUUUUUAAAUAUAGUAAUUUUAAAGACACGGUUGAAAGAAGCAGCUGAUAGCUAAUAUCUGAUGGGUAAUAUGCUAAAUUUCCCUG